GACAGAGGCCUCGAGCGUUAGGCGGAAUCACUGGGCUUAAAGCGUGUGUAGGCGGACUUCUAAGUACCUUGUGAAAUCCCACGGCUCACCCGUGGAACUGCUCGGUAUACUGGUCGUCUUGAGCCUUCUAGGGGCGAGUGGAACAAAUGGUGGAGCGGUGAAAUGCGUAGAUAUCAUUUGGAACGCCAAUGGUGAAAACAACUCGCCGGGGAAGUGCUGACGCUGAGACACGAAAGCCAGGGGAGCGAACGGG
Molecule: ribosomal RNA, 253 nt
Filed under: uncultured bacterium
Lineage: Bacteria
Description: partial 16S ribosomal RNA
Rfam family: Bacterial small subunit ribosomal RNA
Source: RNAcentral